CAUUCGGUCGGUAGUCAGUCGUCACCUUGAUAUUCACGCGAGUACAACCGCAGUCAGUGCCGGUCGGUGCCCAGCCAGAACAGAGUGUCCUUGUUCCCCAUUGCGAAGGCAAAUUACCAUUGAUUGCUUGAGAGGAACAUACCUACAACUCAACUGCGCUACAUUUUUCCAAGCAUCGAGAUUCGACAGUUUGUGUGAAAAGUUUGUUUCCUCAAUUUCGAACGAAACCAAUCAAUUUGCAGAAUGUGCAAGUGUAUCGCCGGAAGCGUCGUUUGUUGCUGCUGCCAAUGUGCGAUGAGCGUUUUCAUCUCGCUGCUGUUUGUGGGAAUCCUGCUGGCGGCCGCGAUCGCAGCCGGCAUCUACUUCGGGGUACUGAACGUCGAUGACAGCGCACCGGAACUGUCCGAGUACAUCCACAAAACGGGCGACUCGAUAAAGGAUGCCGUCAAAGAUAAGAUCAACUAGAGUGGGAGUGGAGUACAUGCCUUCAACGGUGGCUUGAGUUAAGCAGUAUUCCAAAAAGUGCCAGCCAGCCAUUUUUUUAGAAUCUCAAGGAUUGAUCUUCUCACUUUUAAAAUAUGCCAUCGUCUUGCGCACGUGCUUUGUACUAAGGAAAUAUUCGAUAAACAUUAAAGGAUUUGCAUUUUUUGCAGUCCAAGCAUCACAAACAGUGCAUUAGUACUAAAAAGAAUAUACCAACAAAUAACAUCAACGCUUAUUGUAACUUAUUUGGCCUACGAUUUACAGUACAACGCAUUUCAAAGAAUCGAUACAUCACAACUGGAUCAACAGAUAUAUAAAAUAGGUUUUAUUUAUUCUCGCAACAACGUACCCAAAUGGUUCUACAAAAUCCUCGAAAUCUACACAAUGCUCUAUUGCGGUAGAUUUUUUAGUCUAGGUUUGUCAAUGUUUUCCAAUAAUGCGAUGUAAAUAAACGACUAUUUAUUGCUAUGUCUUCUUAAUGUAAAACUA
Molecule: long non-coding RNA, 972 nt
Organism: Aedes albopictus (Asian tiger mosquito)
Lineage: Eukaryota; Metazoa; Arthropoda; Insecta; Diptera; Culicidae
Exons: 2
Source: RefSeq, a predicted model, not a curated record